Molecule: ribosomal RNA, 878 nt
Filed under: uncultured Gammaproteobacteria bacterium
Lineage: Bacteria; Pseudomonadati; Pseudomonadota; Gammaproteobacteria
Description: bacterial SSU rRNA
Rfam family: Bacterial small subunit ribosomal RNA
Source: RNAcentral
AGGGUUUGAUCAUGGCUCAGAGUGAACGCUGGCGGUAGGCCUAACACAUGCAAGUCGAACGGCAGCACAGAGGAGCUUGCUCCUUGGGUGGCGAGUGGCGGACGGGUGAGGAAUACAUCGGAAUCUACUCUGUCGUGGGGGAUAACGUAGGGAAACUUACGCUAAUACCGCAUACGACCUACGGGUGAAAGCAGGGGAUCUUCGGACCUUGCGCGAUUGAAUGAGCCGAUGUCGGAUUAGCUAGUUGGCGGGGUAAAGGCCCACCAAGGCGACGAUCCGUAGCUGGUCUGAGAGGAUGAUCAGCCACACUGGAACUGAGACACGGUCCAGACUCCUACGGGAGGCAGCAGUGGGGAAUAUUGGACAAUGGGCGCAAGCCUGAUCCAGCCAUACCGCGUGGGUGAAGAAGGCCUUCGGGUUGUAAAGCCCUUUUGUUGGGAAAGAAAUCCAGCCGGCUAAUACCUGGUUGGGAUGACGGUACCCAAAGAAUAAGCACCGGCUAACUUCGUGCCAGCAGCCGCGGUAAUACGAAGGGUGCAAGCGUUACUCGGAAUUACUGGGCGUAAAGCGUGCGUAGGUGGUUAUUUAAGUCCGUUGUGAAAGCCCUGGGCUCAACCUGGGAACUGCAGUGGAUACUGGAUGACUAGAAUGUGGUAGAGGGUAGCGGAAUUCCUGGUGUAGCAGUGAAAUGCGUAGAGAUCAGGAGGAACAUCCAUGGCGAAGGCAGCUACCUGCACCAACAUUGACACUGAGGCACGAAAGCGUGGGGAGCAAACAGGAUUAGAUACCCUGCUAGUCCACGCCCUACACGAUGCGAACUGGAUGUUGGGUGCAAUUUGGCACGCAGUAUCGAAGCUAACGCGUUAAGUUCGCCGCCU